GGUCGUGGCUCAGAGGUAGUGCGCUUGCCUAGCAUACAUGAGGCACUGGGUUCGAUCCUUAGCACCA
RNAcentral lists this transfer RNA (67 nucleotides) under Marmota monax (woodchuck). Its description in RNAcentral is "tRNA.Ala". Lineage: Eukaryota; Metazoa; Chordata; Mammalia; Rodentia; Sciuridae. The record is from RNAcentral.